RNAcentral lists this ribosomal RNA (497 nucleotides) under uncultured bacterium. Its description in RNAcentral is "partial 16S ribosomal RNA". It matches the Rfam family "Bacterial small subunit ribosomal RNA", at positions 28 to 507 of the family's 1533-position model. The record is from RNAcentral.
GAUGAACGCUGGCGGCGUGCCUAAUACAUGCAAGUCGAGCGAACAGACGAGGAGCUUGCUCCUCUGACGUUAGCGGCGGACGGGUGAGUAACACGUGGAUAACCUACCUAUAAGACUGGGAUAACUUCGGGAAACCGGAGCUAAUACCGGAUAAUAUAUUGAACCGCAUGGUUCAAUAGUGAAAGACGGUUUUGCUGUCACUUAUAGAUGGAUCCGCGCCGCAUUAGCUAGUUGGUAAGGUAACGGCUUACCAAGGCAACGAUGCGUAGCCGACCUGAGAGGGGGAUCGGCCACACUGGAACUGAGACACGGUCCAGACUCCUACGGGAGGCAGCAGUAGGGAAUCUUCCGCAAUGGGCGGAAGCUUGACGGAGCAACGCCGCGUGAGUGAUGAAGGUCUUCGGAUCGUAAAACUCUGUUAUUAGGGAAGAACAAAUGUGUAAGUAACUAUGCACGUCUUGACGGUACCUAAUCAGAAAGCCACGGCUAACUACGUG